Molecule: long non-coding RNA, 2737 nt
Organism: Oncorhynchus tshawytscha (Chinook salmon)
Lineage: Eukaryota; Metazoa; Chordata; Actinopteri; Salmoniformes; Salmonidae
Exons: 7
Source: RefSeq, a predicted model, not a curated record
CACUUAUAGUCACCAAAUCCCACUUUGCGUCUGCCUUCUUGAGCUCUUUAUCCUAGGCGUGUGCCUCUGCAAACCUGUUUUGUUUGGCAACCGCAAAAAAUGUGGACUGAACGUCAUAUUUGAUUUACCCUGGCGUUAAUGUUUGACAGCUGGCCAUCCUCCUGUCUACGGUGUGCACAUAAACGGUACAACUCUCCCAAAAGCAGUAUGAAAUGAGAUACGUGCACGGGAAAACAAAUCUGAAUGGAACAAGACAAACCGCACAGCAUGCUCAACAUCAGCAGAUGGAGAUAGAUGGAAGAGCGAGGUGGGAGAAAAGGACAGGAAUAUGUCUAACGUCUCACCCUCCAUCGAGUGGAGCCCUCUGUGAAUGCAGCCUGCUGUAUCAUCCAUCUGUGUUGGGGACAUCUUUGGUCUGUCAAAGAAGAGGAUCUUUCAUUUACCAGAGUUAGGUAUCUUUGUGAUCUGUUGAGGAAAAAUCUCUUUGAUAUGUGCUAGAAAAGGAUGACUGUACAGUGGGGAUCUCUCCUCAUUGUGUGUUUCUGAGGAGGAUCGUUUGUGUCUUUUGUGUUGGCCAAGGCUCUCUGAAUAAUGGUUAAUAGGAUACUGUGGCUGCACAUGUUACAUUGCAUCAGCCCAUAGAAAAUACGUGAUUCAGGGAUGUCCCCCUCACUAUUUGAAUCGUCAACAGUACAUGUUGACUAUGCUGACCUUUGUUUUGGUGAAGACUAAAAAAUAAUUGCAUGACAAGGGUGAUGGGAUGAAUUUGAGCUAUAAAUGCAUUGAACUCAACAUCUGUCAAUAAUGCGAGAGACACCACCCUGUCUUGACGGAACACUACAAAAGAACGACAAGCGACAGGGUGAGUAGGAGGAACAGAAGGGAGAAUAAAAGGGUCAUCAUGAUUUUGACGUUGCCCUUCUCCUACCAUGCUCCCAUACCCUGUGUGGGCGCUGUGUCGGGGGUGGGGAGGGGGCAGGGCGAUGUGUACUAAGUGAGGAAGGGGUGUGCCAUGCUUCCCAAGGUGGUACCCGUUCUGCCCACCACCACUCUCAGUCCCCCUAUGUGUGCUGUUUUGUGCCCUUGCUGUUGCCACUCUGUGGAGCUGCCAUGCUGGAAGUGGGCUUCUGCCACCUGCUGCCUGCCUCCCGACCCCUGGGUGGACAGCCAGUAGAGCUGGGGAACAGGCAGAAGGAGGGACGAAGGCCUUCUCACAGGGGAAUCCAUUCGUCAGGGACACAGGGGAUGUCAAGGACCAGAGCACUGCUGCAUAUGGCUCACCACUGGAGGGUGCUAUAGACCUACAAGAGGAAGAGAUGGAACAGUCUGUCAGUCUGACGUUCACCCUGGAUCCCUCUGCUGCUGCUCUAUCCCUCCACCUCCUCCCUCACUGUGACCUUCCACGGACCAAGCCCUCCGUCACUACCCUCUCGUCACCAUAGCAACAGGGUCACUGGUUCAGUGUCCCAGGAGUCUGCCCCUCAGCUCCUCCCUCAGGUGUGUGGGGACGUGGUCAUCGUCAGGGAUCAGUUUUACUGGGAGGUGGAUGUCUGCAACAGCACUCUGUAUAGGAUAGGAGUGAGCUCAUUGGACGAUGCUUGCGGCUGGUGGCUUGAAAGGCGGGGCUUGUCCUUCUCCACUGUGUACGAUAGCCGUCGGGAGCCCUUACUGCCCACUCGCUUCAGCAACGCUGGGGUGCGUCCCGCUCUGGGGCUGGGCCAGGGCAGGCUGAGGCUCCGCUGUGGCCUACCCCCUCUACCCCACAUCUUCCUCAGCCGAGCGUCCGCCGCGUCCACUGGUGGGGGUCGCUGGCGCAGAGACGUGCCCUUCCAGUCUGUACGGGCGGUCAUCCAGAAGUUUGAGGAGCUGGCGGUGUCAGAUUCUCACUCUGGGCUGGUGUCCAGUUUUGGGUCGUCCUGCUCCACUCUGGCCUCCUUGGCCGAAGCAGGCCCAGGUCUAGGCUUCAGCCCAGGAGCAGCUUGCCAUCCUGGGCAAGAGGGAAGGGGGCUGGGGCAGAGUAACAUGUGGAGGACAGAUUAUAGUACCUUGUACAAUGAUGGGCCUCUCCCUGCUGGUGAUAGGAGCAAACUACUACCACGUCACAUUACAAAUAGGUUUUUAUAAGGUUGGUGAUGACACUGUGUGACAAAUUUGGGAUAAACUUGUGAGAUGGAAGGGCCAUUCUUCUGCUUUAUGAUAGGAGAAAACCAUUUGGGAUGAGUUUGAUCUUUGGAUGACUAUUUCCAUGACUAAUUUCUCAUCUCUGAGGAACUCUGUGACUUUCUCAUCAGUGUGAUUGUGACCCAGUAGUUGACUUUCUCCCCAGGACGCUGGGCUUCCUCUCAGCUACACAACCCCCACAGGUUUGGGGCUGGGCCCGGGCUGUCUGUAGGAGGAGGAGGAUUUCUCACUGGGGGUCCCACACUCUGGUGUGGGGGUUGAUGGUAGGACAGUAGGGUUGAUACGGAUGGUGGCGGUGUAUGUGAGGUGUGGGAGUCAGUGGCAGUGACACUACCAGUGUUGACACUGGGUCACAAAGACAAGUGGUAAAGUACAUUUAUCCAGUGGUGUGUGUGUGUGUUACUCCCUCUGCCCCAUCUUGUCUCUCCAUGAUCUGUCUGUUUUCUGCUUUUUGCAUGUUCUGGAAAGGACAAUCAUUUGGUCAGACCACCCAAGUUGUAAAUCACAUUGUAAAAAAAAAAAAAAAAAUCAACCAAAUUAAAACAACCAUCAAUCA